GACGAACGCUGGCGGCGUGCUUAACACAUGCAAGUCGAGCGGUAAGGCCCUUUCGGGGGUACGACGAGCGGCGAACGGGUGAGUAACACGUGGGUGACCUGCCCUCAGCUCUGGGAUAAGCCUGGGAAACCGGGUCUAAUACUGGAUAUGACUCCAUGACGCAUGUUGUGGGGUGGAAAGCCUUGUGCGGCUGAGGAUGGGCCCGCGGCCUAUCAGCUUGUUGGGUGGGGGUGAGGCCUACCAAGGCGGACGACGGGUAGCCGGCCUGAGAGGACGACCGGCCACACUGGGACUGAGACACGGCCCAGACUCCUACGGGAGGCAGCAGUGGGGAAUCUUGCGCAAUGGGCGAAAGCCUGACGCAGCGACGCCGCGUGA
RNAcentral lists this ribosomal RNA (378 nucleotides) under uncultured bacterium. Its description in RNAcentral is "bacterial SSU rRNA". It matches the Rfam family "Bacterial small subunit ribosomal RNA", at positions 28 to 404 of the family's 1533-position model. The record is from RNAcentral.